GCCCCUGUAGCCCAACCGGCAGAGGCAGCGGACUUAAAAUCCGUUCAGUCCGGGUUCGAAUCCCGGCAGGGGCA
RNAcentral lists this transfer RNA (74 nucleotides) under Nesterenkonia sedimenti. It matches the Rfam family "tRNA". Rfam says of the family: Transfer RNA (tRNA) molecules are approximately 80 nucleotides in length. Their secondary structure includes four short double-helical elements and three loops (D, anti-codon, and T loops). Further hydrogen bonds mediate the characteristic L-shaped molecular structure. tRNAs have two regions of fundamental functional importance: the anti-codon, which is responsible for specific mRNA codon recognition, and the 3' end, to which the tRNAs corresponding amino acid is attached (by aminoacyl-tRNA synthetases). tRNAs cope with the degeneracy of the genetic code in two manners: having more than one tRNA (with a specific anti-codon) for a particular amino acid; and 'wobble' base-pairing, i.e. permitting non-standard base-pairing at the 3rd anti-codon position. Lineage: Bacteria; Bacillati; Actinomycetota; Actinomycetes; Micrococcales; Micrococcaceae. The record is from Rfam by way of RNAcentral.